UGGGGAAUUUUGGACAAUGGGCGAAAGCCUGAUCCAGCAAUGCCGCGUGUGUGAAGAAGGCCUUCGGGUUGUAGAGCACUUUUGUCCGGAAAGAAAUCCUUGGCUCUAAUACAGUCGGGGGAUGACGGUACCGGAAGAAUAAGCACCGGCUAACUACGUGCCAGCAGCCGCGGUAAUACGUAGGGUGCAAGCGUUAAUCGGAAUUACUGGGCGUAAAGCGUGCGCAGGCGGUUUGCUAAGACCGAUGUGAAAUCCCCGGGCUCAACCUGGGAACUGCAUUGGUGACUGGCAGGCUAGAGUAUGGCAGAGGGGGGUAGAAUUCCACGUGUAGCAGUGAAAUGCGUAGAGAUGUGGAGGAAUACCGAUGGCGAAGGCAGCCCCCUGGGCCAAUACUGACGCUCAUGCACGAAAGCGUGGGGAGCAAACAGGAUUAGAUACCCUGGUAGUCCACGCCCUAAACGAUGUCAACUAGUUGUUGGGGAUUCAUUUCCUAGUAACGUAGCUAACGCGUGAAGUUGACCGCCUGGGGAGUACGGUCGCAAGAUUAAACUCAAAUGAAUUGACGGGGUCAUAGCUGUUUCCU
Molecule: ribosomal RNA, 583 nt
Filed under: uncultured bacterium
Lineage: Bacteria
Description: partial 16S ribosomal RNA
Rfam family: Bacterial small subunit ribosomal RNA
Source: RNAcentral